RNAcentral lists this microRNA precursor (189 nucleotides) under Oryza nivara. RNAcentral describes it as "MIR812 microRNA precursor family". It matches the Rfam family "MIR812 microRNA precursor family". Lineage: Eukaryota; Viridiplantae; Streptophyta; Magnoliopsida; Poales; Poaceae. The record is from Rfam by way of RNAcentral.
AAAAAGUUAAAUCUUGGGUUUCCGUGUCCAACUUUAACUGUCCGUUUUAUAUGAAAUUUUUUUAUAAUUCGUAUUUUCAUUGUUGUUAGAUGAUAAAACAUGAUUAAUAUUUUAUAUGUGACUUGUCUUUUUAUUUUUUUUAUAAUUUUUUUAAAUAAGACGGACGGUUAAAUGUUAGACACGGAAACC